RNAcentral lists this long non-coding RNA (523 nucleotides) under Mytilus galloprovincialis (Mediterranean mussel). The record is from RNAcentral. Lineage: Eukaryota; Metazoa; Mollusca; Bivalvia; Mytilida; Mytilidae.
GUCUAAGCUCGCGAUCAAAUCAAUACAUCGAGCAAUUUAGUUGUAUAUUGAAAAUAAAACACAAAUACAAACAACAUUACUAAAACAAAUAGCACUUCCUGCUUUUAAGAUUUUAUCAUUGUAGAUAAGGUUGAUUUGUGUACACCGUCUGACCCUUGCUGAUCCGAUAAAACAAUAUCCAAAAGAAUUAAGAAGAUACCGAGCGGGCUAAAAAAAAAUCCCUUAGUCGAAAAAAAGGAGACAAAACAUAUACCAGACAGACAAAUAAAUAAACAACAACAUUUUAAGACCCUAUAAUUCAAUAGUGGCCAUUACACUUGGAAAUAUUAGUAUAAUCCUUUGAAUUAAAACAAGUGGAUGGUCUGCCAUCCAUUACCGAUUGUCUUCCGGAGAAAUGUCGCCAUUUUCCGUCUUGGUGUCAUUUUGGAUUGUGUCACUUAACGGAUUACAGAUGCAAUCAUCAGAAUUGUGAAAUAAAAUAAAUAUUCAAUAUGUAUACAUGAAGUUAACUGAUUAUCUUGUU